UACGUAGGGUGCGAGCGUUGUCCGGAAUUAUUGGGCGUAAAGGGCUCGUAGGCGGUCUGUUGCGUCGGGAGUGAAAACUCAGGGCUUAACCCUGAGCCUGCUUCCGAUACGGGCAGACUAGAGGUAUGCAGGGGAGAACGGAAUUCCAGGUGUAGCGGUGAAAUGCGUAGAUAUCUGGAGGAACACCGGUGGCGAAGGCGGCAUCCUGGACCAACGCUGACACUGAGGAGCGAAAGCCAGGGGAGCAAACGGG
Molecule: ribosomal RNA, 253 nt
Filed under: uncultured bacterium
Lineage: Bacteria
Description: partial 16S ribosomal RNA
Rfam family: Bacterial small subunit ribosomal RNA
Source: RNAcentral